Molecule: ribosomal RNA, 407 nt
Filed under: uncultured bacterium
Lineage: Bacteria
Description: bacterial SSU rRNA
Rfam family: Bacterial small subunit ribosomal RNA
Source: RNAcentral
UGGGGAAUCUUGGACAAUGGGGGCAACCCUGAUCCAGCCAUGCCGCGUGAGUGAUGAAGGCCUUAGGGUCGUAAAGCUCUUUCAACGGUGAAGAUGAUGACGGUAGCCGUAGAAGAAGCCCCGGCUAACUUCGUGCCAGCAGCCGCGGUAAUACGAAGGGGGCAAGCGUUGUUCGGAAUUACUGGGCGUAAAGGGCGUGUAGGCGGUCUAAUCAGUCAGUGGUGAAAGCCCUGGGCUCAACCCAGGAAUUGCCUUUGAUACUGUUAGACUAGAGUUCGGGAGAGGAUAGUGGAAUUCCCAGUGUAGAGGUGAAAUUCGUAGAUAUUGGGAAGACACCAGUGGCGAAGGCGGCUAUCUGGACCGAUACUGACGCUGAGGCGCGAAAGCGUGGGGAGCAAACAGGAUUA